UCCUAUCGACUAUCUCCUUCCUCCUUCCCUUACUCUCACCGUCGACAGCCCCUUCCCUCAGUCGCUCCUGCCAAUCCACCGACAACUUCUUUCCUUACUCACUUCCUAUGGACAGAUAGCCCCCUCUCUCACUCUAACUCACUUGAGCUCUCUCUCCCCCUUCUCCUCUCUCUCUCUCUCUCGCUCUCUCUCUCACUCCUCUUUCUCUCUUGGGUUUUGAUUGCUUCUCUCCUUAACUCUCUAAAUAUAUUAAAAGAGUGUGCUUCCAAAAAAUGUGUAAAACUAGGAAAGCUCUUGAAAUAUAGAAAAAGACUUGGAGAUGUAGUAGAAAUGAAGAAGGAGUCCUCUAGUGGGCAUAGUUUUAAUCUUAAUCCGAACCCAAACCUGAACCUCAACGCCAUUACUAAAUCUAAGACCUGCAGCUCUGUUAAGGUAACAUGACAAAAGCUCAAACCUUCUUCAACUUUUAUAAUUUGAGUAAUGUAAUAAUGAUCAAAUGGGUAGUUUAGCCUGUUCAUUGUCUGAAAGCAAUUUGGAGUUGUCAAAUUACUCUACCUUUCUUUGUAUAAGUAAUGAGAGUUGAAAAUGUUAAAAGUUAGAAAAUCAUGACUUUUUUUCUGGGUGCAUUUAGGAAUCUCUACUUGCAUAAGCUGUACUUGAGAAUGAGUUUAAUAACCUUUGUCUCUAGGAGAAUGGAACUUUCUCUAUACUAUCAAUUCAACCUUUUUGUUAUUAUUGAUUAAGAAUUGCUUCUUGAUAUAUACCGUUAGUAAGCUUCGUCAAAGCAUCUAGGAAUAGGAUUCAAGGGUCUGGGAGUAAUGCUUGAGCCUUGAGAUGGGACGAGAUGCCUAGUGUGGUAAUAAUGAGAAGAUCAGUCCUAUGAGAUAUUCAAGUGAAUGCAAAUUCCUUCAAGUUGAUAUAUAGCAAUCAUCAGUGCUAUUUGGUAGUUCCUUUUUAUCUUAUAUAUUUGCAUGAACAGUGAGAUGCUUACGCUGCUUUUCCUCAUUUUUAUGGUAAAUCAAAAGGCAACUUUAGAAAAUGCAAAAUCUGAACCCUUACACCUAAUAAGAGCAUCUGAUUUGUGAGCUAGAGAAUAUUUCAGAUGCGAUGGAUGCCUCUGCCCCGUUGUUAAUGUCUAAUAUAUGUAUCUUAAUGAAUUAGUUGCUUAUCCAGUUGUUUUAAAGCUAAAGAUGCUAUUAAGAUGAUGGAGAGAUGUAGACAGCAGUUUUGAGAAAAGAUAUGUUGUUGUUUUACUUGUAAUGAUUUUUAUGGUCUUUGUGUACCCUUGAUGCAGUUGUAUUUCUUAGCAAUAACUCAUCUAUUAUAGUGGAUAUGCUACCAUGAUCUUA
Manihot esculenta (cassava) is the source of this 1349-nucleotide long non-coding RNA. RefSeq lists it as uncharacterized. The transcript is spliced from 2 exons. Lineage: Eukaryota; Viridiplantae; Streptophyta; Magnoliopsida; Malpighiales; Euphorbiaceae. The record is from RefSeq and is a predicted model, not a curated record.